UGUAGUAAACCAGAUGAUUUGAUCUCAGAAUCUGUAAACACAUGAAUGAGUUUCAUUUUGUAGGUUCAGUUGAGAAUGCAGCUAAGACACUGGCAAAUGAAAGGUUAAUCCUUCAGUUGAAGUGCAGAAAUGUUUCCCCACAGCCUGCAGGUGGGAGAUGAAUAUGCUAAUUGGGCAAGCCUGACUUUCCAGUGAUUUGCAGGUGAAAAUGUAACUGGUGAUAAUUAAAGGCUAAUUACCUUUAGCUAGCAAGUGGGAACCAGGUGCUCUGAAGCAAAAGAGAGAGAAUUUGUUCCGUUCUGGUGCUUGAUUUCCAGUCACAUUGCCCACCACAGUUGUCUACAAUGAACAUUCAGGCUUUACUAGCACACAGUAGGUCCGUACUUAGGCUCCAGAUUAUUCGUAGUACCUACAGGUCUAAUGAUCCUUUUCUUGAGCAGGUUUAUAACUGCUGAAACCUUAAAGUGUUAACGAGAAAUGGGGAGACCUUUAGGGGCAGCUGGACAAGACAAACUCUGGCAGCACAAGCC
Neopsephotus bourkii (Bourke's parrot) is the source of this 530-nucleotide long non-coding RNA. RefSeq lists it as uncharacterized. NCBI's taxonomy places the organism in Eukaryota, Metazoa, Chordata, Aves, Psittaciformes, Psittacidae. The record is from RefSeq and is a predicted model, not a curated record. The transcript has 3 exons.